GCCCCUCCACCGGCCCUUUCUUGCAGCAAGCCUUUAGCAUACUAUUUGUGUAGAAUUUCACUUCUGCUGCACUGUGUUUAAGACAGUGCCAGAGGAAGACAAAGUUCUGGGGUCCUCAUUGUCAUGCUUGGCUCUCGGUCACCUGGGCCCUCCACUCAGGCCUUCUGUCCCCAGUUGCCUUUUCUGGUACAUGAAGAGGAUACUUAGAAGCCAGGGACUCAAACCAUCAACACUGCUCUAUUCCAGCUCCCUGUUUGGGGCCUCAAGGCCCUUUUCAGUUUAUAAUGUGGUCUCUUU
This is a long non-coding RNA of Suricata suricatta (meerkat), 297 nucleotides long. RefSeq lists it as uncharacterized. Lineage: Eukaryota; Metazoa; Chordata; Mammalia; Carnivora; Herpestidae. The record is from RefSeq and is a predicted model, not a curated record. The transcript is spliced from 3 exons.